AUUAAGUGCAGUUUUGCACUAUUCACGUUCAACGUUUGACCAUCCGUCUUAUUUGAAAAUUUUUUAUGAUUAGUAUUUUUGUUGCUAUUAGAUGAUAAAACAUGAAUAGUACUUUAUGUGUGACUAAAUGCUUUUAGUUUUUUCACAAAUUUUUCAAAUAAGACGGACGGUCAAACGUUGAACGUGAAUAGUGUAAAACUACACUUAUU
MicroRNA precursor from Oryza sativa Indica Group (long-grained rice), 209 nucleotides. It matches the Rfam family "MIR812 microRNA precursor family". The record is from Rfam. NCBI's taxonomy places the organism in Eukaryota, Viridiplantae, Streptophyta, Magnoliopsida, Poales, Poaceae.